UGUGGAUAGCGGAGAAAUUCCAAUCGAACUCGGAGAUAGCUGGUUCUCCUCGAAAUAGCUUUAGGGCUAGCCUCGUAUAUGUCUAGCGGAGGUAGAGCACUGAAUAGUCUAGGGACCUACACAGGUUACCGAAACUUAUCAAACUCCGAAUGCCGCAUAGAUUUAGUACGGGAGUCAGACAGCGACAGAUAAGUGCCGUUGUCAAAAGGGAAACAGCCCAGAUCGCCAGCUAAGGUCCCAAAAUUAUGGUUAAGUGGUAAAGGAUGUGGAUUUGCUAAGACAGCUAGGAUGUUGGCUUAGAAGCAGCCACUCAUUUAAAGAGUGCGUAACAGCUCACUAGUCGAGUGAGUCUGCGCCGAAAAUCAACGGGGCUAAAACCAUAUACCGAAGCUGCGGAUUCAGAAAUGAAUGGUAGAGGAGCUUACUGUAGGCAGUUGAAGCACGAUCGUAAGGACGUGUGGAUGUAUCAGUAGUGAGAAUGUCGGAAUAAGUAACGAGAGACAAGUGAGAAUCUUGUCCGUCGAAAAUCCAAGGUUUCCUGGGGAAGGGUCGUCCUCCCAGGGUUAGUCGGGACCUAAGGCGAGGCUGACAAGCGUAGCCGAUGGACAACAGGUUGAUAUUCCUGUACCGCCGUUGCUCGUUUUAAGAGAAGCAAGGACGCAGUAGGAUAGUCGAUGCACACUGCAGGAUAUGUGUGUUCAAGCGAUGAGGAUAGAGAAGUAGUUAAGUACGCUUCUUGUUUCUGGGUCGUGAUGAGGAGGGAACCAAGUACCGAAGUCGAUGAUUUCACACUGACGAGAAAAGUUGCUAUCAAGAGUAAAGGUGCCCGUACCGCAAACCGACACAGGUGGAUGAGGAGAGAAUCCUAAGACGAGCGGGAGAAGCGUUGUUAAGGAACUCGGCAAAUUAACCCCGUAAGUUCGCAAUAAGGGGAGCCUCGGUAGUGAUACCAGGUCGCAGAGAAUUGGCCCAAGCAACUGUUUACCAAAAACACAGGUCUCCGCUAAAUCGUAAGAUGAGGUAUGGGGGCUGACGCCUGCCCGGUGCUGGAAGGUCACGGGAAUCUGUUAGAGCAAUCGAAGCAGUGAACUUAAGCCCCAGUAAACGGCGGCCGUAACUAUAACGGUCCUAAGGUAGCGAAAUUCCUUGUCAGGUAAGUUCUGACCCGCACGAAUGGCGUAAUGAUUUGGGCACUGUCUCGACAACGUACCCGGUGAAAUUGUAGUACUUGUGAAGAUGCAAGUUACCCGCGACUAGACGGAAAGACCCCAUGGAGCUUCACUGUAGAUUGUUACUGGGAUUCGAUAUUGUCUGUACAGGAUAGGUGGGAGACGAAGAACGCAUGGCGUCAGUUGUGCGGGAGUCGACGUUGGGAUACCACUCUGACAGUAUUGGGUCUCUAACCGGGAGCCGUAAGCCGGCUUCGGGACAAUGGCAGUCGGACAGUUUGACUGGGGCGGUCGCCUCCAAAAAAGUAACGGAGGCGUCCAAAGGUCACCUCAGUACGGUUGGAAACCGUGCGUCGAGUGCAAAGGCAUAAGGUGGCUUAACUGCGAGACAGACAGGUCGAGCAGGUACGAAAGUAGGGCUUAGUGAUCCGGCGGUAGAAUGUGGAAUUGCCGUCGCUCAACGGAUAAAAGUUACCCUGGGGAUAACAGGCUGAUCUCCCCCAAGAGUUCACAUCGACGGGGAGGUUUGGCACCUCGAUGUCGGCUCAUCACAUCCUGGGGCUGAAG
This 1736-nucleotide ribosomal RNA is filed under the name wastewater metagenome. RNAcentral describes it as "bacterial LSU rRNA". It matches the Rfam family "Bacterial large subunit ribosomal RNA", at positions 810 to 2558 of the family's 2925-position model. The record is from RNAcentral.